This 404-nucleotide ribosomal RNA is filed under the name uncultured bacterium. RNAcentral describes it as "partial 16S ribosomal RNA". It matches the Rfam family "Bacterial small subunit ribosomal RNA", at positions 30 to 526 of the family's 1533-position model. The record is from RNAcentral.
AUUGAACGCUGGCGGCAGGCCUAACACAUGCAAGUCGAGCGCGCGGCGGACGGGUGAGUAAUGCCUGGGAGUUGCCCAGUCGAGGGGGAUAACAGUUGGAAACGACUACUAAUACCUCAUACUACUGGAUUGCUCAGGGGGGAUUAGCUAGUUGGUGAGGUAAUGGCUCACCAAGGCGACGAUCCCUAGCUGGUCUGAGAGGAUGGUCGGCCACACUGGAACGGAGACACGGUCCAGACUCCUACGGGAGGCAGCAGUGGGGAAUAUUGGACAAUGGGGGAAACCCUGAUGCAGCCACGCCGCGUGUGUGAAGAAGGCCUUCGGGUUGUAAAGCACUUUCAUCGAGGAGGCGUUACUCACAGAAAAAGCAACGGCUAACUCCGUGCCAGCAGCCGCGGUAAUUC